GGGGCACGUUCGUUAUCGUAUUCCUUUCUGCUCUUUGACGCUGCCGAGGAAGCAUCGCUGAAGGCUCUCGUAACUCUACCGUCAUGUCUAAGUCCGAGUCUCCCAAGGAGCCAGAACAGCUGCGGAAGCUCUUCAUCGGAGGGCUGAGCUUCGAAACAACCGACGAGAGUCUGAGGAGCCAUUUUGAGCAAUGGGGAACACUAACAGACUGUGUGGUAAUGAGAGAUCCAAACACCAAGAGAUCCAGGGGCUUUGGGUUUGUCACAUAUGCCACUGUGGAAGAAGUGGAUGCUGCCAUGAAUGCAAGACCACACAAGGUGGAUGGAAGAGUUGUGGAACCUAAGAGAGCUGUCUCAAGAGAAGAUUCUCAGCGACCAGGUGCCCACUUAACUGUGAAAAAGAUCUUUGUUGGUGGUAUUAAAGAAGACACUGAAGAACAUCACCUACGAGAUUAUUUUGAGCAGUAUGGGAAGAUUGAAGUGAUAGAAAUUAUGACUGACAGAGGCAGUGGGAAAAAGAGGGGCUUUGCUUUUGUUACCUUUGAUGACCAUGACUCUGUGGAUAAGAUUGUUAUUCAGAAAUACCAUACUGUGAAUGGCCACAACUGUGAAGUAAGAAAGGCUCUGUCGAAGCAAGAGAUGGCUAGUGCUUCAUCCAGUCAGAGAGGUCGCAGUGGUUCUGGAAACUUUGGUGGUGGUCGUGGAGGCGGUUUUGGUGGCAAUGACAAUUUUGGUCGAGGAGGGAACUUCAGUGGUCGUGGUGGCUUUGGUGGCAGCCGUGGUGGUGGUGGAUAUGGUGGCAGUGGGGAUGGCUAUAAUGGAUUUGGCAAUGAUGGAAGCAAUUUUGGAGGUGGUGGAAGCUACAAUGAUUUUGGCAAUUACAACAAUCAGUCUUCCAAUUUUGGGCCGAUGAAGGGAGGAAACUUUGGAGGCAGGAGCUCUGGCCCUUAUGGUGGUGGAGGCCAGUACUUUGCUAAACCACGGAACCAAGGUGGCUAUGGCGGUUCCAGCAGCAGCAGUAGCUAUGGCAGUGGCAGGAGGUUCUAAUUACAUACAGCCAGGAAACAAAGCUUAGCAGGAGAGGAGAGCCAGAGAAGUGACAGGGAAGCUACAGGUUACAACAGAUUUGUGAACUCAGCCAAGCACAGUGGUGGCAGGGCCUAGCUGCUACAAAGAAGACAUGUUUUAGACAAUACUCAUGUGUGUGGGCAAAAACUCCAGGACUGUAUUUGUGACUGACUAAUUGUAUAACAGGUUAUUUUAGUUUCUGUUCUGUGGAAAGUGUAAAGCAUUCCAACAAAAGGUUUUACUGUAGACCUUUUUCACCCAUGCUGUUGAUUGCUAAAUGUAAUAGUCUGAUCAUGACGCUGAAUAAAUGUGUCUUUUUUUUUUUUAAAAAAAAAAAAAAAAAAAGAAGUGGAAACAAAAA
This is an RNA transcript of Mus musculus (house mouse), 1428 nucleotides long. It is a transcript of the gene named predicted pseudogene 10052, with no coding region annotated. The record is from RefSeq and is marked validated. NCBI's taxonomy places the organism in Eukaryota, Metazoa, Chordata, Mammalia, Rodentia, Muridae. The transcript has a single exon.